Long non-coding RNA from Acipenser ruthenus (sterlet), 758 nucleotides. RefSeq lists it as uncharacterized. The record is from RefSeq and is a predicted model, not a curated record. Lineage: Eukaryota; Metazoa; Chordata; Actinopteri; Acipenseriformes; Acipenseridae. The transcript has 2 exons.
CACAGGAGUGGAUCUGUUUCUCUUGGUGGGGGGGAUCAUAUUUACAAUACAAACGCGAUUUUUGUGCACAUAAACUUCAGGAUGCAAUAUCGAUGGUGUCGUGAUUGAUACACGCCAAGCACAAUGCUUAACCGCUUCUUUGUAUACCCAAGCGUCACCGCAUACUGUGAUUUAUCUCGUAUAGGUGAUUAGCACAUACAAACUGGCAAGCGGUGCAAUUAUGAAUGUAGCCCAUUAAUCUUAAAAGUUUUGACAACCCGAGCAGAUAUUAGAAGCAAAAGCAACUUUCUGGAGUUGGUCAAGACGCAGUCUCAACAAACACGAAUUUGGGAGGAACUGUUAAAUAAACAGCAGACUGUACAAUAAGGUUUUAAUGAUAGUGAGUUAGCUGCUGCUGUAACUGGACCCGAAACUGUUGUUAGGGGGAAAAGGGGAUUGGACACUUCCGGUCAGUAUCCGGCGCUUUCUUUGGUUUAGCAGCACGUGACUCCCAUGCAGCCCCCCAAGAUUCCAAUUCUUCCAUGCUUGUGCGAAUCUGUGUGGACUUAAAUUGAACUAGGAGACACAGGGAUCAUGCUUAGAGGAAAGCGGUUUUGUGUGUGUGUUGUGUGUGUGAGAGAGAGAGAGAGAGAGAGAGAGAGAGAGAGAGAGAGAGAGAGAGAGAGAGAGAGAGAGAGAGAGAGAGAGAGAGAGAGAGAGAGAGAGAGAGAAAGAGAGAGAGAGAGAGUGAUGCAUUUUUACUAUAGCCAACAAGACAA